RNAcentral lists this ribosomal RNA (253 nucleotides) under uncultured bacterium. RNAcentral describes it as "partial 16S ribosomal RNA". It matches the Rfam family "Bacterial small subunit ribosomal RNA", at positions 524 to 776 of the family's 1533-position model. The record is from RNAcentral.
UACGUAGGUGACAAGCGUUGUCCGGAUUUACUGGGCGUAAAGAGCGCGCAGGCGGUCGUUCAAGUCGAGUGUGAAAGCCCCCGGCUCAACUGGGGAGGGUCAUUCGAUACUGAUCGACUCGAAGGCAGGAGAGGGAAGUGGAAUUCCCGGUGUAGUGGUGAAAUGCGUAGAUAUCAGGAGGAACACCGGUGGCGAAGGCGGUUCUCUGGGCAUGUCCUGACGCUGAGGAGCGAAAGUGUGGGGAGCGAACAGG